Long non-coding RNA from Daphnia pulicaria, 495 nucleotides. RefSeq lists it as uncharacterized. NCBI's taxonomy places the organism in Eukaryota, Metazoa, Arthropoda, Branchiopoda, Diplostraca, Daphniidae. The record is from RefSeq and is a predicted model, not a curated record. The transcript is spliced from 2 exons.
GAUACUUCCGAUAAGAGUCUUAAAAUAAAUGUGAAAUGAAAUUAACUGAAACUGACGCCAUGAAAUACAGAAGUAAAAUGCCGAUGAUGAACUUCCGACUUCGCCCUUUGAUUCUUGGCUGCCGUCGUGGUGGUGGCUUGUGGCAAUCCAGGCUACGGAUACAAUCCAUUGGCCCCUUCGUACAUGGCUCCGUCUUAUUCCGCACCGGGUAUUUAAGGCUCCGGUGACAAAGCUCCAGCUUAUUCACCUCCAGCAUAUAAAUGAUAUUCUUCUCCUGCUUACUCAGUAUACUCACCUCCGUUUUACUCCCCUCCUGCUUACAAAGCUCCAGCCUACAUGGCCCCAGCUCCUUCGCAUUAACAAAAAAUCGUUCUAUUAGGUCACACUUUCCAAAUUGUUCAUUCGUAAUCUGAACUAUAUGUUUCAUUUUUGGACAUAAAUGUACAUUUCUUAUUUAUUACUAUGACCAUGAACACUGUUAUCUUUACAAAUCAA